UACUGUUAGAAGAGUGCACCGUAGAAACACAUUCUCAAGGUGACUCUUGGACCUGUGAACUCCUCCUGGGGUCAGGCUGACUCCUCACAGAUAAGACUUGUAACUAACUGAGUAAUGUGCUCUCACACAUAGCUCUGGACCAUCCCAAGGUGCAAGACUAAUUCUAGGUAAUUGUGACACUGAGCAAUCGUCACUUCUGUUUUGUUGCCACGUUACCAUGUCCCUUACUUGCUGGCUCCAGAAAGUUUCCUUGGGAGCCAGCAGACAUUGUUAAGCCAGGGCACCGUGUUUCUCUCUCAUACUGUAUGGCUUAACCCCACCACCUUUCCUCCAGCACAGAUGGCUUUGGCAGCUUGGUUUUGUGUCUGUGCAGACAUAUGCACACGUUCACACGUGUGCUUCUGCUCAGAGCCUAAGCUGCCAAUUGGCCAAGAGUUACAACUCCAGCACAGUAAACAAGUGAUCAGUGAGUCUGGGAAGGGCUCAGCACACCAGACACUUGGAAAAUAGAGGCAAAUAAAGCAGGAAGAUCAACAGACAUAAGCUAGUCAGCACAAGACUUCCAACUUGAUAAAACUACAGUCACGAAGAAUGAAGAUCUUGGACGACUCCAAGGUUAAACUCACCAUACUCAGUAGAACUUUUGCAAUGAAGAAUCAAUGUUACUGUUUCCCCCUAUGAAUAGGCUUCUAAUAUUGCACAUAAUUAAAGCACCAUUUGCCUAAGAAAACAACUAUGUUCAU
Non-coding RNA from Meleagris gallopavo (turkey), 743 nucleotides. NCBI's taxonomy places the organism in Eukaryota, Metazoa, Chordata, Aves, Galliformes, Phasianidae. The record is from RefSeq and is a predicted model, not a curated record.